UUAUAGAGUAACAUAAAAAACGGAGUACACCAUUAUAUAUGAACAAUAACAAGAAGACAACUUUAUUUUGUGCAAUUCCCAAAUCAAGCUGAGAAUGGCAUGAAUCAUUGAACAACAGAUUCAUUUACAAAUUGCAUUCGAAUAUCUAAGUCACAAAAGAGAUCUAGAGAAGGAAUAACCAUGUUGUACGAGGAGAGAGUCUCCCCGACAUUCUUAACUGCAUAUGCAUCAUAGAGUUUCCUUGUUUGAUUCAGACUAACUGUAUAUAUGUCUGAUUCUAUGAGAAGAACGCAAAAAAUUGUAAGAAGAAUACGAUCAAGAGACAAAACAAAUGAUUAAGCACCAGAAUACUGGUUCGCAAAUAUCAGUGACCACGUCCGCGAUUGCUUGGCCCCGAACGAGCUUGCCUUAUAUUAAGUGUAACCCUUCUCCCAUUCAAAAGAGUGUCCUUGUGUAACAGGCCUCCCCUCAACGUGCAUGGUGUACGACAGCAAGAGGAAGAAGAUCAAUAUAGAAAUAGCAUUGAGAGCUAGUACAAAUGAACGGCACCUCAUUCUCUCUCUGGCUUAGCGUUAAUUAGGUAGGGGUGUAGUUAUUU
This 598-nucleotide long non-coding RNA is filed under the name Populus tremula. RNAcentral describes it as "long non-coding RNA (PTRE_LNC002896)". Lineage: Eukaryota; Viridiplantae; Streptophyta; Magnoliopsida; Malpighiales; Salicaceae. The record is from RNAcentral.